CAAAGUGUAGCUUAAGCAAAAGCACCCGGCUUACACCCAGGAGAUUUCAACCAAACAGACCACUUUGA
RNAcentral lists this transfer RNA (68 nucleotides) under Choloepus hoffmanni (Hoffmann's two-fingered sloth). RNAcentral describes it as "tRNA-Val". It matches the Rfam family "tRNA". Rfam says of the family: Transfer RNA (tRNA) molecules are approximately 80 nucleotides in length. Their secondary structure includes four short double-helical elements and three loops (D, anti-codon, and T loops). Further hydrogen bonds mediate the characteristic L-shaped molecular structure. tRNAs have two regions of fundamental functional importance: the anti-codon, which is responsible for specific mRNA codon recognition, and the 3' end, to which the tRNAs corresponding amino acid is attached (by aminoacyl-tRNA synthetases). tRNAs cope with the degeneracy of the genetic code in two manners: having more than one tRNA (with a specific anti-codon) for a particular amino acid; and 'wobble' base-pairing, i.e. permitting non-standard base-pairing at the 3rd anti-codon position. The record is from RNAcentral. Lineage: Eukaryota; Metazoa; Chordata; Mammalia; Pilosa; Megalonychidae.